Molecule: long non-coding RNA, 1974 nt
Filed under: Gossypium barbadense (sea-island cotton)
Lineage: Eukaryota; Viridiplantae; Streptophyta; Magnoliopsida; Malvales; Malvaceae
Description: long non-coding RNA (GBAR_LNC012089)
Source: RNAcentral
GAAAAAGAAAGAAAGGAUAAAACGAAACAGAGAGCAGGGGAAAGAAAGAAGGAAGGAAAAAUGGGAAAAUUUGGAUUUCAAGGCUUGAAAGUUAAAUAGGUAUGUCAAAUUAGCCCUUUUUACUUGAUUUUGAUGUUUUAGAAACUUUAGAACAAGGUUUUGAUGAAGUUAAGUUGAUAUAUUAUAAGAUAGUUGAUCAUAAGACAUUGUUCUUGUUGAACAAAAAGAUGAAUUAAGGGCUAAAUUGAUAGAAAUUCAAGUUAGAAAUGAAAUAAGGAUUGAAUUGUAAAGUAAUUCAUAAGUUUUGAAUAGUAGGGACUAAAUUGAAGAAUUUUGAAAUCAUAGUUUAUGAUGAAAUUAGAGAGCUGAAAUAAGUUUGAAGUGGAAAUUAAAUGAAAAUAUUGAGUUAAAUAUGAAAAAUAAAAGUUAUUCUCGAUUUAAGGACUAAAUUGGAAUUUAGGAAAAAGUUGGAUAAAACUUGAAAUAUUUAAUGUGAAAAUUGAAUGUUAGUGUAUUGAUAUUUAAUUAUUUUAAUUUCCGUAGUUAACGUUGUCUCGGGAAAUCUCGGCUAAGCAAGGAAAUGACAAAGACAAUAGGAGUUAGCUCGGAAAUUACGGUUUGUAUUUCUAUAAUCCGAACUUAAUACUUAAAUUAUUGGAUUUAUUAUUUAAUAUAUAUAUAUAUAUAUAUAGUAGAUGUUUUGAGAUGAUUAUUUGAAUUAGAUUGAAUAUUGAUUAUAUUGAAUUGAUUUAUGAAUAUAUGUGAAUGUUUGAAUUGAAAUAAAUAUUGAUGUGGAAAUUGAAUAAUAAAUAUUUGUUAUAUUGGAAAAUAUAUGUAGUUGGAAGUGUGAUGAAAUUGAUAGAAAAAUGUGAUUAUUGUGAAAUUGAAUAUUUAUUAGUGAAAAGUGAAUGGAAUUAUAUUGAAUUGAAAAUAUAUAGUUAAUUAAUUAAAAUAUGAAUUAAUUGAAAAUUGAAAAAUGAAUUAAAUAUCCUAUUAACUAAUCGGGCUAGUUGGAUAUAGUUGGCAUGCCAUAGGAUAUGGAAGAGUACAGGUUUUGCCGACUUACUGAUUAGGCACUUAUGUGCUGACUACUGUUACUGUUAUCGUUAGUGUUACCGAUUCAACACUUUGUGUGUUGGAUAUUGUUACUGUUACCGUUACUGUUACUGUUUAGAAUUUGUUCCAAUGAGGUACUCUGUGUACCGUACUGCUACUAUUACUGUUAUUGUUACUGUUCUGGCUUAAGCCGAUGAGGCACUAUGUGCCGUACUGAUGUGUUGGUUGGAUCCGUGUAUCCGUCUAGGUCCAAGUCAUGUUAAUAGGGGUAAAUAAAGGAACUAGAAAGAUCGACUAUUACUGAAUAAUUUAAUUGUUACUGUAUAUCUGAUUUUAUUGAAUAAUUGACUGUUACUGGAUAAUUGAUCAAUUGAUUGAUACUGAAUAACUGAUUAUUAUUGAAUAAUUGAUUGUUACCGAAUAAUUGACUGUUACUGAAUAAAUAAUUGUUCUAAUUGACUGAUUGUUAAUGAAUAUUACUGAUUGAUUAAUUGCUAUUGAAAAAUAAUAAAUGAUUUUGAAUUUAAAGUAGGCCAAAACAUUGGUUGGAAAGUGAAUGUUUGAAUACUCAUUGAGUUUGAAUAGUUCAAUAUAUAUAAAUUAAUAUGUUUUAUAAUUGUUUAAGUGUUCAGAUUAUAGAAAUACCACUGAGCGUAUACUCAGCAUACGGUUUGUUUCCAUGCGCAGGUUAAGUUAAGGCUAGAUCAUUGAAUCAGCAUCCCAGGCCGAUCCCGAAUUUGAUGAGGUAAAGCAUGUUGAGUAUUGGUAAUGGCAUGUACCUAGGACGUCUUAUGAGAGUCAUCUAGGUUGUGAAAGUAUUGAUGAAAUAAGUAAAUUAUGGUUGGCAAUAGUAUAUAGUAUGAAGUUGAAAUAAUUGAUAAAGUAAGUGAUAUACUUAAAAAGAUUCAUUGGAUAGGU